UUCCUAUAAAUUACAUAUACUAAAAGGGGAGAGAUAGAUUAACGUCAAACGUGACAAGGUCCAAUUAAAACGUAAUUAAAACAUAUUCCCAAGGUUCAAACAAUUUGAUUUUAGCGCCUUAUCAUAUAGCUCAAUUAUCGUUUAAGGCAUAAGUCCAAAGUCAUCCAUUUCAUAACUACUUAAACACAUUUAAAUAAUCAUUAGGGAAUGCAACAUAAACAUUUAGAUUUAGUGCAUAUGGGCAUAAUAGUAUUAUGAGUUUAAACAACUAACAAAAUUAAAAUCAAAUAUUUUAACUUUCUAGUUAGUAGGGGCCUAAAUGUAAAUAUGAAAAGUUAGGGGUAAAACCGUAAAUAUUUCAAAGUAAAUAUCAACUUUUCAAAGAUUACAAAAUAGCCCCACAAGUGGAUAAAUCCACUAGGGAGGCCGGCCACAUUAAGGGGAUGGGAGGUCUCUUACACAAUCUUACACAACAUGCAUUAAAAGCCACAUUAUGUAAGAAAAAUUAAAUUUUGCUUGUCACUUGGUUUUGCCAUUAAAACUUAGGUGAGAUGAGUGAUGGAAAUCCUCCUAGUCAAGUCUAGGGUUUUAUAAGUUUUAAUAUGGUUAUGGAUGGUAAGAACAUCAUCCAAAACCAUAAAACCAUGCAUGAAAACCAAUUAAAACCAUUUUCACCCAAAACCAAACCAUGAACACAAUUUCAAGAUUUGUACAUUCUUGGUGAUUUUUCAAACCCAAAAAUAAAAGUGACAAGAACACUUCUUUCAAGCUUUAAAAGGAUGUGUGAGUGGUUUACAAUAAAACACAAACACAACCCAAAACCACCCCCAAAACCGUGCCAACCUUUUUGAACAAAACCCCAAAUUUGUUCAUGACUUAUUCUUCAUUUAUGCAUACAAAACAACUUUUACAUGCAUAUCUUUUUCAACUCUUGAUUUACAUUUUUCAACCAUUGAAAAACAAAAGACAAACAUACUUUUAAAUGAAGAAAUAAUAUGUCAAACUAGUCUUAAACUCAUUUUUCAUUCAUGCAUACAAAACACUUUUGCAAACAUAUCUUUCUCAACUUUUGACUAACAUUUUUCAACUAUUGAAAAACAAAAGACAAACAUACUUUGAAUGAAACAAUAAAUAUGUCAUGCAUAAUAUUAAUACCCAUAUGCAUAAAAUCCAAAAGGACACAUUAAUAUAUAAACCAUUGGCUCUGAUACCACUUGAAGGGAAAUUUAUGAGAUUUCUAGAAUGGGAUUUCAUAAUGACUAUCAAGCAUAUUCAAAUCAAAUUAAAUAUACGAAAGCAGCGGAAGCAUUUAAAACAUAUUAUCAAAGCUAUAGUCAUGCAAAUCCCCUUCAAGCUUCAUAGGUUUAUAUAUAAUGCAUCAAAACAUUUUAAAGAAUUAAGAACAAAGUGAAGGUUAGUCUUAUACCUCUUGAUCUAGACUUGAGACCAAGGAUGGACCACCUCCAAGCCCUUUGCUCCUUGAAAUCCUUGAGCCUAGCUUCCCUCCUUGCCUCCUCCACUUUGUUACAAUGAAUGCUCCUAGGUUCUCUUCAAGUUCCCAAAGUAGGAAACCUCUAAAGAUCCUCACCCACUAGUGUAGUGAGAAGGAUGAAGGAAUAACCAAAAGGGUGUAAGAGAUGUUAGUAAAAACCCCCUUUGGUGGCCGGCCUUUGUGUAGUUUAGAGAGCUAUUUUUCUUUUGCCUCUUUGUUGUUUUUAACACACAAAAACCCUUAUGAACAAUAUCUUAUAAAGUUGCUUAUAUAGACAAAAAGAAAACCUAGUCAACACUUGACUAAAUAUCUCUCCA
Molecule: long non-coding RNA, 1809 nt
Filed under: Malus domestica (apple)
Lineage: Eukaryota; Viridiplantae; Streptophyta; Magnoliopsida; Rosales; Rosaceae
Description: long non-coding RNA (MDOM_LNC017091)
Source: RNAcentral